This 497-nucleotide ribosomal RNA is filed under the name uncultured bacterium. Its description in RNAcentral is "partial 16S ribosomal RNA". It matches the Rfam family "Bacterial small subunit ribosomal RNA", at positions 28 to 507 of the family's 1533-position model. The record is from RNAcentral.
GAUGAACGCUGGCGGCGUGCCUAAUACAUGCAAGUCGAGCGAACGGACGAGAAGCUUGCUUCUCUGAUGUUAGCGGCGGACGGGUGAGUAACACGUGGAUAACCUACCUAUAAGACUGGGAUAACUUCGGGAAACCGGAACUAAUACCGGAUAAUAUUUUGAACCGCAUGGUUCAAAAGUGAAAGACGGUCUUGCUGUCACUUAUAGAUGGAUCCGCGCUGCAUUAGCUAGUUGGUAAGGUAACGGCGUACCAAGGCAACGAUGCAUAGCCGACCUGAGAGGGUGAUCGGCCACACUGGAACUGAGACACGGUCCAGACUCCUACGGGAGGCAGCAGUAGGGAAUCUUCCGCAAUGGGCGAAAGCCUGACGGAGCAGCGCCGCGUGAGUGAUGAAGGUCUUCGGAUCGUAAAACUCUGUUAUUAGGGAAGAACAUAUGUGUAAGUAACUGUGCACAUCUUGACGGUACCUAAUCAGAAAGCCACGGCUAACUACGUG